AGAACUAUUUCAUCAAUGCAAUGAACAAAUAAUACACAGUAAAAAACAGGUCAUAUGCCAAGAAUGUCAUAAUAGUCUAGUAAUAUUAAAUUUAAAUAUUAAAUCAUAUAGUAAUUUCCAUGGAUAUUGAAAAAGCAGUGAAUAAAAAUAUAUUUAUUCCAACUGAAAACUUCAAAUAAAAUAUGAAGACUAUACACUACUUUGUAUAUGUAUUUAUGAAUCUUGCACUACUUUUAAUUGCCAAACAAUAAAAGUAAAGUUGGAAACAAAAGAAAGAUAUUGUUCUGGAGAUACCAGUUGAUGGAAUUAGAAUUGAAAAAAAAAUAAGUAUACAAUUUUAAAAUGGAUAUACAUAAUUAUUUUUUAGAAAUGAUACAACUGUAUAACCAAAAAAAAAAAAAUACAACUUAAAAUAUAUUUCCAAAAAGAUAAAAACAGUCAUAAACACAUGAGAGAAUAAGACAUGUGCUUGUCUUAACUUUUUCAUAAGCCUUUGAUUGAAGGACCCAGCUGGGGUGGGGUGCUUAGGCAACUGCAGCAAAGUGACCUCAAUGAUGUUUAUCUCUGUUUUUAAGGCUACUUUCUCCUGCGGAAGUUUUCUAAAACUAGUGACCAGAGCAAACAAGAAGUAAAAAAUGAGAGGGCGGGAAAUAGAGACUUUCCUUCCAACUUUGAAAACAAUUUAUUUGACCGUAGUUGGCGUUCCAGAGACUGUUUGGGAAGUCAUUUGAACUGACACAGCUGAAGUGGCAAGGAAGGUGAUGGAUCUGUAUGGUAAACAGAAAAUAGGCUGCAUGAGAGAGCAGCUCCAGCAUUCGUAAGCCUCAGAGGAAAAGACGCUUACCCAGUCAGUUUUACAAUACUGCUGUUCUUGUACCACGCUAAACCCUGGAUCACAAAUACAAUGCAAUUCUCUCAAACAGCCUUUAUUCAUUGUGUUAGGGGAAAACAUAUGGCUAUUCCUUAAGCUUUCUUGGAGAAUAAUUUAAGAAAAGCUGAUUUUACUUUAUAUCACCAGCAUAAAUGACAUACUAGUUAAUAUACUCCUCUGUAUAUAAGGAGCAUAACAAUAGAACCAAAACUUUAAGGGUAUU
This 1094-nucleotide long non-coding RNA is filed under the name Papio anubis (olive baboon). RNAcentral describes it as "lncRNA (ENSPANG00000051131.1)". The record is from RNAcentral. Lineage: Eukaryota; Metazoa; Chordata; Mammalia; Primates; Cercopithecidae.